AGCUAAAUGCGGAAGAGAUAAGUGCUGAAAGCAUCUAAGCACGAAACUUGCCCCGAGAUGAGUUCUCCCUGAGACUUAAAGUCUCCUGAAGGAACGUUGAAGACGACGACGUUGAUAGGUCGGGUGUGUAAGCGCAGCGAUGCGUUGAGCUAACCGAUACUAAUGAACCGUGAGGCUUAACCUU
RNAcentral lists this ribosomal RNA (184 nucleotides) under Enterobacter cloacae. Its description in RNAcentral is "partial 23S ribosomal RNA". It matches the Rfam family "Bacterial large subunit ribosomal RNA", at positions 2747 to 2925 of the family's 2925-position model. Lineage: Bacteria; Pseudomonadati; Pseudomonadota; Gammaproteobacteria; Enterobacterales; Enterobacteriaceae. The record is from RNAcentral.